AACGAACGCUGGCGGCAUGCCUAACACAUGCAAGUCGAACGAACCCUUCGGGGUUAGUGGCGCACGGGUGCGUAACGCGUGGGAAUCUGCCCUUGGCUUCGGAAUAACAGUUAGAAAUGACUGCUAAUACCGGAGGAUGUCUUCGGACCAAAGAUUUAUCGGCCAGGGAUGAGCCCGCGUAGGAUUAGGUAGUUGGGGGGGUAAAGGCCUACCAAGCCGACGAUCCUUAGCUGGUCUGAGAGGAUGAUCAGCCACACUGGGACUGAGACACGGCCCAGACUCCUACGGGAGGCAGCAGUGGGGAAUAUUGGACAAUGGGCGCAAGCCUGAUCCAGCAAUGCCGCGUGAGUGAUGAAGGCCUUAGGGUCGUAAAGCUCUUUUACCCGGGAUGAUAAUGACAGUACCGGGAGAAUAAGCCCCGGCUAACUCCGUGCCAGCAGCCGCCGCAG
RNAcentral lists this ribosomal RNA (449 nucleotides) under uncultured bacterium. RNAcentral's name for it is "partial 16S ribosomal RNA". It matches the Rfam family "Bacterial small subunit ribosomal RNA", at positions 29 to 523 of the family's 1533-position model. The record is from RNAcentral.